Molecule: long non-coding RNA, 442 nt
Filed under: Gossypium barbadense (sea-island cotton)
Lineage: Eukaryota; Viridiplantae; Streptophyta; Magnoliopsida; Malvales; Malvaceae
Description: long non-coding RNA (GBAR_LNC005663)
Source: RNAcentral
AACAUGGUACGUACGCUUGAUGAAAAUUAUAGGGGGAUUCCUUGCUACAUCCAUUUCACAACUCAAAUGAAGUUGGAACCCACUUCAAAGCAGUACAGUAUGAAUGGUAGGAAAGAGGGCCCCGGGACACAUGAAUUUAAAUUCAUUACUCAUCUCGACAAUUACUGAAAAUUUUUAAUAAUUUUCUUCUUAUCCUGAUCAAUAGAAUUUUUAAUUUAGAUUUGAGUGGCUGUUGGGGGCAGUUAAAAAGAUGUUAUUAGAAAUGUGUCAUAUAAUUUAUUUAUUUUGAUACCUGAUUUUUCCUUUCUUGUAGUGUUCUGAUUGGGGACCGAGGAAAGAAGGAAAAGAAAAGUGGAAAUAAAGAGGAAAAGGACGGAAAAAUACAUCGGUUUUUUGAAUAUUUAAAUUCGAGAUUUAUUGUAUGUAAUAUAUUUAUUUUGGU